Molecule: ribosomal RNA, 253 nt
Filed under: uncultured bacterium
Lineage: Bacteria
Description: partial 16S ribosomal RNA
Rfam family: Bacterial small subunit ribosomal RNA
Source: RNAcentral
UACAGGGGGUGCAAACGUUGCUCGGAAUCAUUGGGCGUAAAGCGCACGUAGGCGGUCUGUUAUGUCGGAUGUGAAAGCCCUCAGCUCAACUGAGGACGUGCAUCCGAAACUGGCGAGCUUGAGUACUGAAGAGGAUCGCGGAAUUCCCGGUGUAGAGGUGAAAUUCGUAGAUAUCGGGAGGAACACCAGUGGCGAAGGCGGCGAUCUGGGCAGAUACUGACGCUGAGGUGCGAAAGCGUGGGGAGCAAACAGG